CGUUCUCGGGCCUUGUACACACCGCCCGUCACACCACGGAAGCCGGCAACACCCGAAGCCGGUGGCCUAACCCGCAAGGGAGGGAGCCGUCGAAGGUGGGGUUGGUGACUGGGGUG
RNAcentral lists this ribosomal RNA (116 nucleotides) under uncultured bacterium. Its description in RNAcentral is "partial 16S ribosomal RNA". It matches the Rfam family "Bacterial small subunit ribosomal RNA", at positions 1369 to 1482 of the family's 1533-position model. The record is from RNAcentral.